Molecule: long non-coding RNA, 1339 nt
Organism: Brassica rapa (field mustard)
Lineage: Eukaryota; Viridiplantae; Streptophyta; Magnoliopsida; Brassicales; Brassicaceae
Source: RefSeq, a predicted model, not a curated record
AUAUAUAUAUAUAUAUAUAUAAUGCUUAUCGAAGAGUUUUGGUAAUUUUACACCCCCCUUUGCAAGUUCUUCGUGUUACAAAUCCUUCAAGACAAAAACGUCAAGAAGAUGACUGUCACCAACAUUCACCUCCCCGACUUUGAGACAGGAAGUUGUAAAGAGACAGUGGGUACACGACUUCUGUGUUUUUCAGAGGCUAGAAAUGUGAAGAAAGGAGGAGAGCUGAUGGGUGUUGAAGUGGUUUCCGUUGAUGUGAAGUGAUUACACUUAAAGGACUUAAACAAGCCACCGGUUAUUGCUAACAAGGAGUUAGAGGCAGGGGAGGAAGACUAGGAAGUGAUGCAGCCCCUUAUGUGAGACGCCUACCAAUCCCAAACCAACAUGGAGGUUUUGUAAGAGGUGGUUAAGACAAAGGCCAAGCUGGUGGUGGCAAAGGGAAUAAAGGUGGCCCAGCUAAAGAUGCCUAAAUGUAGGAUUGAAAAAAUGGAAAAAGCUCUAACAUGGUAUUAGGAAGAACAUGAAGACAACACUAGCUGAAGGCUUUCUACAGUUGUUGACUAUCAAGUGAACACCCUCCUAUGUUUCUAGGAGAAGCCAGAGCUAAAGCCUUUGUUGCUCAAACUUGCGCAGUGCUCUUUUUCAUGAUUCAGUGGCUACAUGAGAGUUGUUUCUGCACGAGUCAGAGUUUAGAGUCAGUAACUUAACUUGCUUCACAUUUAAGAUAUUGUGGUUACAUUUGUUUAUCUAAUGAAUAAGCAAACCAGACUCUAAAUAGCUUAACUUGCUUCACAUUUAAGAUAUUGAGGUUACAGUUGUUUAUCUAAUGGAUAAGCAAACUAGAACCAAGUAAAAUACACGUUCCAAAAACGAUUUACAAACAAUGUUCUUUCUAUUAUAUACUAAUACAUGAAUAUGUUUUUAACGAUUUAAGAUAUUUAUCAUUAUGUGUGUAGAAAAUAUGUUUUAUAAGGUUUAAAAUUAUUUUUCUAAAAUUUAAUCAGUAUUGUUUUAGAAAAUUUAAUUAAUAACAUAUAUAACUUACAAGAAAAAAGUAGUGAAUGUUGUUAUAAAAAUAAUUAAAUUAUUGUUACAUAUAAUUGAAAAUAAAUUAAGCAUUAUAGAAAAUUAUAUUAAAAAAUUUUAAUGGUAAAAUUAGUAUAUAUUUUCUAAGUAUUGUACAGAAAAUAUAAGCUUAUUGCAUUUAACUUAAUGUACAUUUAAAAAAAAACUAAAAUAAACAGCUCAAUCAUGAUUUUAAUACUAAAAUGAAAAAAAAUUAUAUACUUGCAUAGUCCAACAAAAAAAAAAAAGUUAACCAUCCCGAUAAAAAAACAAAUAA